RNAcentral lists this ribosomal RNA (263 nucleotides) under uncultured bacterium. RNAcentral's name for it is "partial 16S ribosomal RNA". It matches the Rfam family "Bacterial small subunit ribosomal RNA", at positions 28 to 292 of the family's 1533-position model. The record is from RNAcentral.
GAUGAACGCUAGCGGCAGGCAUAAUACAUGCAAGUUGAACGGGAUUCAGAUAGCAAUAUUUGAUGAGAGUGGCGCACGGGUGCGUAACACGUAUGCAACUUACCUUAAACUGGGAGAUAGCCCGUGGAAACAUGGAUUAAUAUCCCAUAGUAUAAAGAACAGGCAUUUGUUUUUAUAAAGCUCCGGCGGUUUAAGAUGGGCAUGCGCGUCAUUAGCUAGAUGGAGAGGUAACGGCUCACCAUGGCAACGAUGACUAGGGGUCU